RNAcentral lists this ribosomal RNA (500 nucleotides) under uncultured bacterium. RNAcentral's name for it is "partial 16S ribosomal RNA". It matches the Rfam family "Bacterial small subunit ribosomal RNA", at positions 30 to 523 of the family's 1533-position model. The record is from RNAcentral.
AUUGAACGCUGGCGGAAUGCUUUACACAUGCAAGUCGAACGGCAGCACGGACUUCGGUCUGGUGGCGAGUGGCGAACGGGUGAGUAAUAUAUCGGAACGUAUCCAAUAAUGGGGGAUAACUAAUCGAAAGGUUAGCUAACACCGCAUACGCCCUGAGGGGGAAAGCUAGGGACCGCAAGGCCUGGCGUUAAUGGAGCGGCCGAUAUCUGAUUAGCUAGUUGGUGAGGUAAAGGCUCACCAAGGCUUCGAUCAGUAGCUGGUCUGAGAGGACGACCAGCCACACUGGAACUGAGACACGGUCCAGACUCCUACGGGAGGCAGCAGUGGGGAAUUUUGGACAAUGGGCGAAAGCCUGAUUCAGCCAUUCCGCGUGGGUGAAGAAGGCCUUCGGGUUGUAAAGCUCUUUCGCAAGGGAAGAAAACUUAUCCUCUAACAUAGGGUGAGGUUGACGGUACCUUGAUAAGAAGCACCGGCUAACUACGUGCCAGCAGCCGCAGUAA